Molecule: long non-coding RNA, 431 nt
Organism: Lepus europaeus (European hare)
Lineage: Eukaryota; Metazoa; Chordata; Mammalia; Lagomorpha; Leporidae
Exons: 3
Source: RefSeq, a predicted model, not a curated record
UGGAAACAUCAGCUCUUCUCCGAUCUUGAGCCUGCCUGUUCUUCUAGAACCAUACCCUUGGCUCUCCUGGGUCACCAGCUUGCCAACUGCAGCUCUUGGCCACCUUGCAGCCAGCGCACGCAGUCUAAUCUCCAUCAGUCAGGCUUUGGUUCAGGAGCUGGUGAAGCCAAGGGAAAGGAUGGCAGCGUUCUUUUGGCAGCUUGGAGCUGUGCCACUGAGAAACGCCUCCGGGAGAACCUGCCGUGAGGAGUGUAACUGACAGCCUUGGCAUCUGUGCAGCACUCAUUCCAUGUCUCUGCUCUAUCCAGAGGGCCCCGUCCAAUGAAUAGGCACAGAGCGGGGCACACAGGAUGCCAUGGAGAUGCCAGGGGAGCUGAGGAACGCGGCCCUGAGCCGGCAGUGCCUUUCCAGAAACAGCUCUCCUUGAUGGA